This 830-nucleotide ribosomal RNA is filed under the name uncultured bacterium. RNAcentral's name for it is "bacterial SSU rRNA". It matches the Rfam family "Bacterial small subunit ribosomal RNA", at positions 8 to 808 of the family's 1533-position model. The record is from RNAcentral.
AGAGUUUGAUCCUGGCUCAGAACGAACGCUGGCGGCGUGCCUAACACAUGCAAGUCGUACGAGAAAAUCCGCUUCGGCGGGUGAGUAAAGUGGCGCACGGGUGAGUAACGCGUGGAUAAUCUGCCUUUAAGCGGGGAAUAACUUACCGAAUGGUGGGCUAAUACCCCAUAAUGCUAUGGAGCUCCGGUUUUCAUAGCCAAAGAAGAGCCUCCGCACCCAAGCCCUCACUUAGAAGAUGAUUCCGAGUACCCUUACCUAUUAGGUGGGGUAAUGGCCUACCAAAGGCGACGAUGAUUAGUUGGUCUGAGAGGAGAUUCAGCCCACACCGGAAAUGAGACACGGUCCAGACUCCUACGGGAGGCAGCAGUGAGGAAUAUUGCGCAAUGGGGGCAACCCUGACGCAGCAACGCCGCGUGACGUGAGGAAGGUUUUCGGAUCGUAAAGCUCUGUCGGGUGGGAAGAAAUGUAUGGAGGUUAACAGCCUUUGUACUUGACGGUACCGCCAAAGGAAGCACCGGCUAACUCCGUGCCAGCAGCCGCGGUAAUACGGGGGGUGCUAGCGUUGUUCGGAAUCAUUGGGCGUAAAGAGCGCGUAGGCGGCUAGGCAAGUCAGAUGUGAGAUCCCUGGGCUUAACCCAGGACGUGCAUUUGAAACUGCUUGGCUUGAGUAGGGAAGAGGGAAGUGGAAUUCCUGGUGUAGAGGUGAAAUUCGUAGAUAUCAGGAGGAACACCGGUGGCGAAGGCGACUUCCUGGUCCUAUACUGACGCUGAGACGCGAGAGCGUGGGGAGCAAACAGGAUUAGAUACCCUGGUAGUCCACGCUGUAAACG